AGAAAGAAGACGAUUCAAGACUUGAUCGCCUAUCUUGUACCUUAAUGUAAUGUUUGCUUUUGAAAUAAAAUAAAACUUUCUUCCACUCCUUGCAUUUCUUUUAUGUGUUGUGGAUGUCUGUUUUGCUUCUUCAGUAACAUAGGCCAAACAACUUUUCAAUGUUCACCCUAUGCCGAUUUUUGGACUUAUGCCAUGGCAUUAUGUCCCCUAGUCACAUUGGAGAUCGUGCCUUGUGCUAUCUCCAGCUAUUUGCUUUGCUUCCUAUGAAUUUGGGGCUAUGUUAUCUGAGAACCUUGAGGAGCAUUUAUUGCUUUGCCAUUCGGUGCAUCUUCCUCUCUGGAAGAUUGCACAAUUCUUUAAUGCUGCAGUGCUCGAAAUGGUAUUUGACUGAAAGGGACACAUGGAGUGCCUUUUUCUGAAAGGUGCAGUCUUCUGGAGCCACUGGGGUGGUGACACCUGGUGCCUUAUUUGGGAAACAAAGGGGUGCUUUUCAUAUGAAUCUUCCAUAAAUAGGAGAAAGGAGCUCUUGCUUGCAGUCAAUUUUUUUUCCAAAUGUCGCUACUACGAUCUUCCCAUG
RNAcentral lists this long non-coding RNA (577 nucleotides) under Elaeis guineensis (African oil palm). RNAcentral's name for it is "long non-coding RNA (EGUI_LNC031813)". The record is from RNAcentral. Lineage: Eukaryota; Viridiplantae; Streptophyta; Magnoliopsida; Arecales; Arecaceae.